RNAcentral lists this ribosomal RNA (246 nucleotides) under uncultured Actinomycetes bacterium. Its description in RNAcentral is "uncultured actinobacterium partial 16S ribosomal RNA". It matches the Rfam family "Bacterial small subunit ribosomal RNA", at positions 28 to 276 of the family's 1533-position model. Lineage: Bacteria; Bacillati; Actinomycetota; Actinomycetes. The record is from RNAcentral.
GACGAACGCUGGCGGCGUGCUUAACACAUGCAAGUCGAGCGGAAAGGCCCCUUCGGGGGUACUCGAGCGGCGAACGGGUGAGUAACACGUGAGGAACCUGCCCUUAGCUCUGGGAUAGCUCCGGGAAACCGGGAUUAAUACCGGAUACGACCACUGUCGGCCUCGACGGUGGUGGAAAGAUUUAUCGGCUAGGGAUGGUCUCGCGGCCUAUCAGCUUGUUGGUGAGGUAACGGCUCACCAAGGCGA